AUACUUACCUGACAGGGUUAGGCACCAUGAUUAAUUAGGUGGUCCUCCCAGGGCGAGGCUCAUCCAUUGCACUGCGGGUGGGUUGACCCCUGCGAUUUCCCCAAAUGCGGGAAACUCGACUGUAUAAUUUGUGGUACUGGGGGACUGCGUUCGCGCUAUCCCCCG
This is a small nuclear RNA of Petromyzon marinus (sea lamprey), 165 nucleotides long. Its record names the gene U1. It matches the Rfam family "U1 spliceosomal RNA". From Rfam's summary of the family: U1 is a small nuclear RNA (snRNA) component of the spliceosome (involved in pre-mRNA splicing). The record is from Ensembl. NCBI's taxonomy places the organism in Eukaryota, Metazoa, Chordata, Hyperoartia, Petromyzontiformes, Petromyzontidae.